CGUACAUUUCAUAGUGGAAGGGACGGGAAGACCAUGACUGGUGUCUCAAGUUCAAUGCUUCUGAUUUUGUCCUUUUCAAUUCCUAAUGCAAAAAAAUUUCUGAUUUUGUCCCGCCGUCCACUUCCAAAUCCACUUUCACUAGCUCAUCACAUUUGAAUUCAGUCCACUAAUUUCACUUCAGGCCUUCUUUUUCUCAUGGUACUGCACAGGUCAACUCUCUUACGCCCUGUAGUAUAAAUCUGUGCAUCAUGUUCCAGCUCAGUCACAAGGACGAAGGAAGGGUAAGCACUUAAGCACGCGGUACCAGCUUCUCUUACUGCAACUCUACUUUGUCCUCAAUCCCUUUGCUUUAUUGAUGGAUUCUGAAGAUGUCCCAUCAGCCCCUUCAACGCCAGUUACUCCGGGGACUCCUGGAGCUCCCCUUUUUGGUGGGAUCAAGCCUGAGAGGAGUGGCAAUGGCAGAAGAUCCCUUCUUAGUAGCUGCAAGUGCUUCACGGUUGAAGCAUGGGCCUUGGAAGAAGGUACCUUACCCUCUGUCUCCUGCGCAUUGCCGCCUCCUCCCGUCUCACUUGCAAGAAAGGUGGGAGCUGAGUUUAUAGGCACUCUGAUACUGAUCUUUUCAGGGACAGCCACGGCCAUAGUAAAUCAAAAGACUCAAGACUCAGAGACUCUUAUAGGCCUAUCAGCAUCCACCGGACUCGCUGUUAUGAUUGUGAUUCUUGCCACAGGCCAUAUUUCAGGAGCCCAUAUCAAUCCAGCAGUCACCAUUGCCUUUGCUGCUCUCAAGCACUUUCCUUGGAAGCAUGUUCCAGCAUACAUAGCAGCACAAGUAUUGGCAUCAUUAGCUGCUGCAUUUAUACUCAAGGGAAUUUUCCAUCCUAUUAUGAGCGGGGGAGUAACUAUUCCAUCAGGAGAGUAUGGCCAAGCUUUUGCUUUAGAAUUCAUCAUUGGCUUCAAUCUCAUGUUUGUUGUUACUGCUGUGGCCACUGACACCAGAGCUAUUUUAAUGAAUAUUAAUUUGAACGACCACAUCAAGUUGUGCCACUACAAAAUUACAGACACUUGUUCAGGCAAAUCUGUCAGUGAUCUGGAAAUCAAUGUAAUGAUAUAAACAGGGUGGGGGAGCUUGCAGGAAUUGCAGUGGGAGCUACAGUCAUGCUCAACAUACUCAUAGCUGGGGAGUCAACGGGAGCGUCGAUGAAUCCAGUGAGAACUCUGGGUCCAGCUGUAGCAGCAAACAACUUCAAAGGCAUAUGGAUUUACCUGACUGCACCCGUACUUGGGGCACUGGCUGGUGCAGGUACUUACUCUGCUGUCAAGUUACCUGAUGAUGAUGCCAACCCUCAAAACAUGUCAUCAGCAGCACCCAGCUUCAGAAGGUGAACCAUGAUCGAUAGUGAUACACUCCGCUAGCUGGGGAACCAUUGCACAAAUUUGGCUCGUUGUCUCUAAGUUAACUGUACAGGCUUGGCACGAACUUUGGACGUGUUUUUUUUUUUUCGUAUUUUUUCCCCCCCUUCUUUUUUCUCAAUUUCUGUUGCUUGUUGGUUUAGAGACUGAAUGGAUAUGCAAAACCAAGCCGUUGAAUGAAUCUCGAUGACAAAACUGUUUUGCGA
Molecule: non-coding RNA, 1616 nt
Organism: Coffea arabica (coffee)
Lineage: Eukaryota; Viridiplantae; Streptophyta; Magnoliopsida; Gentianales; Rubiaceae
Source: RefSeq, a predicted model, not a curated record